RNAcentral lists this ribosomal RNA (465 nucleotides) under uncultured bacterium. RNAcentral describes it as "partial 16S ribosomal RNA". It matches the Rfam family "Bacterial small subunit ribosomal RNA", at positions 28 to 507 of the family's 1533-position model. The record is from RNAcentral.
GACCAACGCUGGCGGCGUGCUUAACACAUGCAAGUCGAACGGAAAGGCCCUGCUUGCAGGGUACUCGAGUGGCGAACGGGUGAGUAACACGUGGGUGAUCUGCCCUGCACUUCGGGAUAAGCUUGGGAAACUGGGUCUAAUACCGGAUAGGAACCAUCUUUAGUGUGGUGGUUGGAAAGUUUUUUCGGUGUAGGAUGAGCUCGCGGCCUAUCAGCUUGUUGGUGGGGUAAUGGCCUACCAAGGCGGCGACGGGUAGCCGGCCUGAGAGGGUGUACGGCCACAUUGGGACUGAGAUACGGCCCAGACUCCUACGGGAGGCAGCAGUGGGGAAUAUUGCACAAUGGGCGCAAGCCUGAUGCAGCGACGCCGCGUGGGGGAUGAAGGCCUUCGGGUUGUAAACUCCUUUCGCUAGGGACGAAGCUUUUUGUGACGGUACCUAGAUAAGAAGCACCGGCUAACUACGUG